Ochotona princeps (American pika) is the source of this 983-nucleotide long non-coding RNA. RefSeq lists it as uncharacterized. Lineage: Eukaryota; Metazoa; Chordata; Mammalia; Lagomorpha; Ochotonidae. The transcript has 4 exons. The record is from RefSeq and is a predicted model, not a curated record.
GCCCCCACCUCCUCUGGCCACUUAGGCUGCUUCAGGACCCUGUAGUCUUGCAGAGAAGAGGGAGGAAGUCACUUCGCGAGCAGCCCCCUCCUGUUGUCUAGACAUCAGGGAAGAGAUGUGAUCUUGGGGAUGCUGCAAGGACUGCAGAGAUUAUACCCGGAUUUCCAGUCAGAGAUGGAUCCUGCCCUCAAGAUCCCUCAUUUGCGAGUUGCAUCUGGGCCUCCAGAAGAAGGAAAUAAGGAACUCACACAGAGAAGAAGCUGUGUCAUUCCCCAUGGGGACUUCCCUGGGUGGCAUCUGAAGCAUGAAUGUCAGAAUGCCUGUGGUACUGGUGGUAGACAGAGGACUUAGGCUGUUGGGUUCUAAGGAAGUGAUGUCUCCUGCCAGGACAGAUGUAGAUGGGAAGUUGGAGCUGAGGGUGGGGACCUACACAGGAAGCAACUUGUGAGGUAAACACAGCGGGUGGGGAAGCUGCAGAGCAAGCAACCAAUUCACUCUCACAAACGGAGGCUGCCUCGGAAAUGGUCGGCAUCAAACACCGAGGUAGCAGUUAUCAGGAGUCUCCCAUCAGCAGCCCUUGUUGCUUUUUGUGGAUGUACAUAUGUAUGUGAUGGGCCUCUAUGCUUUGUGUGUUUGUGUGUGUGUGCCUACAAUUGUGUCCCAGUGUAUAUGUGAGACCUAGAAGGUCAGGUUGUGUUUGCUCAUUUUCCACCAUGAAAUCAUUCUUGAAACUUGUGAACAAUGUGAAGGGAAAACAACAUGGGGAAGUGGAGCCGCCCAGCUGGGUUCCCGUCCCUGCACCCAGGCUGGGUCUGCACCUCCAGCCUGGCCCUCCUGCUCCCUUGGCCUCUCCCUUCCAGAGAUGCACCAAGCCUGGGCCUGGGAGAACACCCGCGGCCAGGUGCCAGGGGCUCACCCCACGGUGUGACAGCCUGCUGGUCUGUUUGUUUUCCCUAAGCCGUGGCCUUUCUCCAUGGGCCUAU